GACGAACGCUGGCGGCGUGCCUAAUACAUGCAAGUAGAACGCUGAAGGAGGAGCUUGCUUCUCUGGAUGAGUUGCGAACGGGUGAGUAACGCGUAGGUAACCUGCCUGGUAGCGGGGGAUAACUAUUGGAAACGAUAGCUAAUACCGCAUAAGAGUAGAUGUCGCAUGACAUUUGCUUAAAAGGUGCAAUUGCAUCACUACCAGAUGGACCUGCGUUGUAUUAGCUAGUUGGUGAGGUAACGGCUCACCAAGGCAACGAUACAUAGCCGACCUGCGAGGGGGAUCGGCCACACUGGGACUGUGACCCGGCCCAGACUCCUACGGGAGGCAGCAGUAGGGAAUCUUCGGCAAUGGACGGAAGUCUGACCGAGCAACGCCGCGUGAGUGAAGAAGGUUUUCGGAUCGUAAAGCUCUGUUGUAAGAGAAGAACGAGUGUGAGAGUGGAAAGUUCACACUGUGACGGUAUCUUACCAGAAAGGGACGGCUAACUACGUG
Molecule: ribosomal RNA, 495 nt
Filed under: uncultured bacterium
Lineage: Bacteria
Description: partial 16S ribosomal RNA
Rfam family: Bacterial small subunit ribosomal RNA
Source: RNAcentral